GCCAUGGCCGAAGUUAAACUUAAUCUAUUAAUUCUCUCUGCAGCGAUGGCAGAGGUUCCGUUCAGGUACAUCAACUGCCGGCCGUGCCGUCUCGAGGGCUUCUACAGCCGCGAGGAGUACGCGGAUCACGUCGAGUUCCACCUGGCUGUGGAGCCGCCGCAGCCCAACCCCGCCGAGGCGUACCGCAGUGGCGGAAUCAGCGGAUCCAACGUCGCCAGACCGAGCGGGAACAGAUCAGGCUGGCGGCACAGAGAAAUGCCGCCAGGAGGGCCGCAAGGGAGGCCGAGGCCACCAGGGCGAAGAACAAGACCAAGAGAUAGGUAAUACAGUAAUUUUAUCACCUUCAGACUGGCGAUUUGGUUUACAUGAUACUAACACUACUGGGAUAAAUAAAUAAAACCAGGCAAGCUUGCGAAUUCUGGAGCCGGGGGGACAUCACAGCACCGGUCCAGAAGCUGCCUCGUUCCUCGUUAGCCUGCAAUCAUGGACCCGGGGUGAAAGGAUAUAGCAUCCGUACAGCAAACUUCCGGGAGAGAGUUUAUCAUGUCCGGCAGUCACAUUAAUCAGUUCCUGCGGUAAAGAGAUGGAAGGGACAAAAUGAUGAAUAUUAUCACUCUAAAACUUCUAGUGUCUAAAACAUAGCUACUGUGAACUAUGUUGUUUCGGUAUGUAUAUAUCCAAUUGAAGCAUUUACAAGCUAUGAUGUGUUUCCUUUAUUGAUUCAGCUGCUUUGGAUUAGUUUUCUUAGUAAACAAUUCUGUCAGCUGCAUCAGGACACUAGGCUGCAAAGCACCUAAAUAAUGAUGAAAUUAGUGACCAUGAAACAAACCUUUGUGAGGCAGAUCUUUGGGGAUAGGAAUAACCUGCAUACAGAAUACCUCUCGCGUUACCUGCACAUCCCCCAUACCAUCAUAAUUUUACCAUUUUGCACAUUUUGAGAAUCUUAAAAAUAUAAGAAGACUGCCUUUAAACUUUUUUAUUUAUGAUAACAGUACAAACAUGUGGAUGGGAUUUUAAAUUGGUACUCCUUCUGUUCAGAAAUAUAAAAUGUUUUGGAUAUUUCAACAUGGACUACAUUCAGACUGAAAUGAGUGAACAAACACACUAAAACGUGUCUAUACAUCCGAUUCACAAGAUAGUGUUGCAGAACAUCUUAUAUUUGUGAACUAAGGGAGUGCAUGCUAGGAAAAUAAACUGAUAUACUUCAUCAGUUCACAAUUAUAAGAUGUUCCAACGUUUUUCUGGUCCAGAUGUAUAUAGACGGAUUUUAGUGUCUUUGCUCACUCAUUUCAGUAUGUAUGUAGUCCAUAUUGAAAUAUCCAAAACAUUUUAUAAUUAUGAACGGAGGGAGCACAUUACAAAAGAAAAUGUCAACACUUUUCUUGACUAUUUUACACAUAGAUGAGUAUAAGAGUUAACCUACCAUGCUGUGUGUGCCCUAUCAUUUAACAUUGUCAUUUCAUACUCUGCAUAUACAAAUUUAUCUAUUAUGACGCAUGUGCUUAUUAUUUAACAAGAACAAACAACUGAGUUAGAAAGUUGUGCAAAUUUGUGUGUUCGUCAUGAGCUCAGAACUGGUUGCUUACCGAGUCAUAUGCGGAGAAUUUAGUUUUAUUGUGUACCAAGUGGCUAAUCAGCAAUCAGAGACUAUGUAGCUAGUACUGACUGUUUGAAAACUUCAUAUAAGAACAUACUCCCUCCGUUCCCUCCGUUCCUAAAUAUAAGUCUUUUUAGAGAUUCAACUACAAACUACAUACGGAUGUAAUAUAGACAUAUUUUAGAGUGUAGAUUCACUCAUUUUGCUCCGUAUGUAGUCUAUAGUGGAAUAUCUAAAAAGACUUAUAUUUAGGAACGGAGGGAGUACAUGGCAAAAUGAGAAUAUGCCAAUAGGGUUACUUUGCCCUUUGUUUUAUUCUCUUUUAUUUAAGGAAACAUAUAAAUCGAGCCCAUCCAAACAACCGCUGCUUGUUGUGAACCUGCAGUUGCUCUGUUGAUUAAUGUUGCAUUGUUGCUCUUGUUGAUUUGUUGCAUGGCAUGGCUGGGUCUAAAAGUAAGAAUGCUAAUGUUGACAGCGAGGAGGGUUGUAGGAGGCUUCUAGCUAGAAGUGCUUCAGCAAUUGGCUUCUAAUUUCAAAACCAAAAAGUGGAGUCAAGAAUGCAAUUGUGCUGUGUUAUUUCUUCAAGGCAGAAAUAAAACAAGACCAAAAUCAAAAGAGAGGUCUGCAUGUCCGCAUGUUCGUCACGAGUUAGAACUGGUUGCUUACGUUUUUCUAUUAUCACAACUGCAGUGAGUCUCGCAAUCAGAGGGUCAGGUCGGUGGUAUAGAUGGUUGCAUGUCAGGUUUACGACCACCAUCCCACUAGCGUGACUAAUCAGCGAUUAGGCAUAGGACAUUUAAUAGCACUGCUAAGUGUCUAAAAGGUGCAUAUAAGAAGUACUCCCUCUGUCUCAUAAUACAAGAUUUUUUGACACUGUGAUAAGUGUCAAAAAACAUCUUAUAUUAUGAGACAGAUGUAGUAUAUAUAUGGCUAAAGAGAAUACGCCAAGUGGGUUACUUUGCCCUGCCUUCUAUUCUUCUUUAUAUACUCCUACAAGGAAAAGUUACUACACAAACAAACAACUAGGUAGGGUGCGUGCACAGAUUCUGUCUGCGUGUUAGAUAGGCAGCAAGCUGCAAACGGUCCAGCCCUGAGAUACAAUUUGCUUACUUGUCGACAAGCCUAGGCUCGCACAGGAAUCGUCAGCUUACUGAUUCCAAGAAGAGUGGCAUCAACUUGCAAAGCUUCAGUCUGCACCGGCCUCGAAUUAGGCACUGAUGAAAAUAUACCCUAAGUCCCAUCGUCUUGCCUACCAAGGCUUUGAAAUCCCGGCAAAAAACCAAUUCACUCCUGCAAAGGAAGAUUGGAGGAUAAGAUUAAUAACCAGCCUCAGCGGAUCAGUAUAUCGACCGUAGAUCACUAAAGCGAGCAGCCUAACACAAAUUACCGAGGAAACGAACCACGGGCUGUGAGAAAUCGACCCGCAGACCACUAAAAACGCAACCUUUAUGGGUAAAGAGACAGUGAAUCGGAAGAAAAAAGGGUUGCGGAUCUGUAAAUCGGCAAUUACAUACCUAAUAGACGCGCCAUCGUCUCCACGAUGGUCUGAUCUCGAGAACCUACGAGAUCCAGAAGAAAAGUGCUGCCUUUAAGAAGAUCCGGGGCGCUCCGGCACGAGCAGGCCCUGGGCCGGCGCAGAUCUGCCGGUCGCCGCACUGCCUGCGCAGAUCGCAUGGGGGAAACCGGUCGUAGAUGAGCGUAUGUGAGGGGAGUAGAUGGGGUGGGUGAGAUCCGGUAGAGAGGCUUUGCCAUGGGAUGGGAUGGGAUGGGAGUAGAUGGGGUAGCUUUUGUUUCGGGAAAGGACCGCCUGGGUUGUCGAGACGCCGUCCCAACAAACCAUCGGGAUUUCUCUUUUAAAAUAAUAAUUGUAUCAACUAAAAAAAUGUCGUUCUCAAAAACAAAUGUUGUACCGAUCGUGCUUUACACCCGGAUCCCGCUAAAGUUGUCGAACUGCAACUUUG
This 3558-nucleotide long non-coding RNA is filed under the name Triticum aestivum (bread wheat). RNAcentral's name for it is "long non-coding RNA (TAES_LNC003492)". Lineage: Eukaryota; Viridiplantae; Streptophyta; Magnoliopsida; Poales; Poaceae. The record is from RNAcentral.